GUCAUGGCUAAUGACCUUCAUGGGUAUUCUCUUCGCUUUCCUUGCUGAAAUUUGCACCACUCUCGGACAAAGAAAAAAAUUGAAGCAUUAAAGGGGAAGGAAACACAGAUUUUCUGUAUAUUGUGUAUUGCCAGUGACACUAAUGUGCUGUUUUCUCUAAUGUAUUUACUUAUAUGUAGAGAUUCUGACAUUUUUAGCUAGGUUUAGCUUAACUCGAGGCUUCAUAUCGAAGCUGAAGCUGGAAUGUUUAUUUGACUCAAAUUGUAAGUUAUUAGUAUUUUUCAAUUUCUCAUCCUCUUG
This 300-nucleotide unclassified non-coding RNA is filed under the name Hevea brasiliensis (rubber tree). Lineage: Eukaryota; Viridiplantae; Streptophyta; Magnoliopsida; Malpighiales; Euphorbiaceae. The record is from RNAcentral.